Molecule: ribosomal RNA, 429 nt
Filed under: Gemmatimonadota bacterium
Lineage: Bacteria; Pseudomonadati; Gemmatimonadota
Description: Gemmatimonadetes bacterium partial 16S ribosomal RNA
Rfam family: Bacterial small subunit ribosomal RNA
Source: RNAcentral
UAGGGAAUCUUCGGCAAUGGACGAAAGUCUGACCGAGCAACGCCGCGUGAGUGAAGAAGGUUUUCGGAUCGUAAAACUCUGUUGUUAGAGAAGAACAAGGACGUUAGUAACUGAACGUCCCCUGACGGUAUCUAACCAGAAAGCCACGGCUAACUACGUGCCAGCAGCCGCGGUAAUACGUAGGUGGCAAGCGUUGUCCGGAUUUAUUGGGCGUAAAGCGAGCGCAGGCGGUUUCUUAAGUCUGAUGUGAAAGCCCCCGGCUCAACCGGGGAGGGGCAUUGGAAACUGGGAGACUUGAGUGCAGAAGAGGGGAGUGGAAUUCCAUGUGUAGCGGUGAAAUGCGUAGAUAUAUGGAGGAAAACCAGUGGCGAAGGCGGCUCUCUGGUCUGUAACUGACGCUGAGGCUCGAAAGCGUGGUGAGCAAACAGG